This 233-nucleotide ribosomal RNA is filed under the name uncultured bacterium. RNAcentral describes it as "partial 16S ribosomal RNA". It matches the Rfam family "Bacterial small subunit ribosomal RNA", at positions 116 to 334 of the family's 1533-position model. The record is from RNAcentral.
CGUGGGUAACCUGCCCUUGGGAUUGGGAUAACUGGCCGAAAGGCCCGCUAAUACCGGAUAAGACCACAUGAGCUUUGGCUCAAGGGGUCAAAGUCGGCCUCUCGAAGAAGCCGGCACCUGAGGAUGGGCCCGCGGACCAUUAGCUAGUUGGUGAGGUAACGGCUCACCAAGGCCGAGAUGGUUAGCUGGUCUGAGAGGAUGAUCAGCCACACUGGAACUGAGAUACGGUCCAG